RNAcentral lists this ribosomal RNA (259 nucleotides) under uncultured bacterium. RNAcentral's name for it is "partial 16S ribosomal RNA". It matches the Rfam family "Bacterial small subunit ribosomal RNA", at positions 15 to 257 of the family's 1533-position model. The record is from RNAcentral.
GAUCCUGGCUCAGGAUGAACGCUGGCGGCGUGCUUAACACAUGCAAGUCGAACGAGAAAUGGAGACGGAAACCUUCGGGCGGAAGGCUUCAUUUCGAGUGGCGGACGGGUGAGUAACGCGUGGGUAACCUGCCUCAUACAGGGGGAUAACAGUUGGAAACGACUGUUAAUACCGCAUAAGACCACAGCACCGCAUGGUGCGGGGGUAAAAACUCCGGUGGUAUGAGAUGGACCCGNGUUCGAUUAGCCAGUUGGCGGGG